This 254-nucleotide ribosomal RNA is filed under the name uncultured bacterium. RNAcentral describes it as "partial 16S ribosomal RNA". It matches the Rfam family "Bacterial small subunit ribosomal RNA", at positions 524 to 776 of the family's 1533-position model. The record is from RNAcentral.
UACGGGGGGGGCAAGCGUUGUUCGGAAUUACUGGGCGUAAAGGGUUCGUAGGCGGCCAACUAAGUCGGAUGUGAAAUCCCCAGGCUUAACCUGGGAACUGCAUCCGAUACUGGAUGGCUUGAAUCCGGGAGAGGGAUGCAGAAUUCCAGGUGUAGCGGUGAAAUGCGUAGAUAUCUGGAGGAAUACCGGUGGCGAAGGCGGCAUCCUGGACCGGCAUUGACGCUGAGUGAGCGAAAGCCAGGGGAGCAAACGGG